RNAcentral lists this transfer RNA (72 nucleotides) under Toxocara canis (dog roundworm). It matches the Rfam family "tRNA". From Rfam's summary of the family: Transfer RNA (tRNA) molecules are approximately 80 nucleotides in length. Their secondary structure includes four short double-helical elements and three loops (D, anti-codon, and T loops). Further hydrogen bonds mediate the characteristic L-shaped molecular structure. tRNAs have two regions of fundamental functional importance: the anti-codon, which is responsible for specific mRNA codon recognition, and the 3' end, to which the tRNAs corresponding amino acid is attached (by aminoacyl-tRNA synthetases). tRNAs cope with the degeneracy of the genetic code in two manners: having more than one tRNA (with a specific anti-codon) for a particular amino acid; and 'wobble' base-pairing, i.e. permitting non-standard base-pairing at the 3rd anti-codon position. Lineage: Eukaryota; Metazoa; Nematoda; Chromadorea; Rhabditida; Toxocaridae. The record is from Rfam by way of RNAcentral.
CGGGCAGUCGCUCAGUGGUAGAGCUCCCACUUCAUAUGCGGGAAGAGCUGAGUUCGGUUCCCGGCUGCUUAC